UCUUUCCUAGAUGGGGAGUUGUGACUCCAACGACCCCAAGACCCGUCCGUGUGGGCUAUUGCCCAGGCUGGCCGUCAAAGUUAGUACAGACUAUACGCGAUAAAGCACGACCUAGGCGCGUUUGAUGACGGU
This is a small RNA of Rhizoctonia solani 123E, 132 nucleotides long. It matches the Rfam family "EGFOA RNA". Lineage: Eukaryota; Fungi; Basidiomycota; Agaricomycetes; Cantharellales; Ceratobasidiaceae. The record is from Rfam.